RNAcentral lists this microRNA precursor (92 nucleotides) under Vitis vinifera (wine grape). RNAcentral's name for it is "MIR2275 microRNA precursor family". It matches the Rfam family "MIR2275 microRNA precursor family". The record is from Rfam by way of RNAcentral. Lineage: Eukaryota; Viridiplantae; Streptophyta; Magnoliopsida; Vitales; Vitaceae.
AAGCAGUACAUGAGAAUUGGAGGAAAUUAAUCCCAUUAGCAUUGUCAAUGCAGUAGUGGGUUUAAUUUCCUCCAAUAUCUCAUCUACUGUUU